UACCAAACUGAACAUCACCAGCUAGAAAAAUCCUUUAAACUGCAUACAUUUUACUUGCUGAAAAUAAAUCCAUGCUAAUGGGCACAAUAGCAUACACCUAAUGUAUCACAUAACCAGCUUAGUAUAAAAAUAAGUAUCUACAGAAUUCUAAUUCAUACAUGAUGCUACAGAAAAUGCUAAUUUGAGAAAUGUCUGAUGCCAGAUUACAACGUACUUGGAGGCUUUUUGCUUCAACAUGCACUAGACACAUGUGGAAAAUUCAGAACAAACUGACAAUAUGUUUGAUUUAUUUUUCAGGAACCUCUAGAGUUCUGUCAUCUUAUUACAAUUAAUUCCAGAUUCAGAAAGAGAUUAAUAUGGUGCAUGAGGAAAGAACUGGAUUCCAUGUCUGACUAACAUGUGACAUGAGAGGGACUAUUUCAUACAUCUAUUUGAGAAAACCGACUUUGGAAACAUAAUCCUGGAAAGCUGUCCUUCAGCAGCAGAUAUGUGCCUACUUUUGCUUUGCUGCCUGCCUACUUAUAUAUAUCCUCCCACUUCAUAAAAUAUGGAACAGUGACUGCAACCACUGGUGUCUGUCAAGAUUAUGUGAUUACACUAACUACCUAAUAAAUUUAUUUCUUUACAUAACA
Long non-coding RNA from Parus major (Great Tit), 632 nucleotides. RefSeq lists it as uncharacterized. The record is from RefSeq and is a predicted model, not a curated record. The transcript has 2 exons. NCBI's taxonomy places the organism in Eukaryota, Metazoa, Chordata, Aves, Passeriformes, Paridae.